RNAcentral lists this long non-coding RNA (1287 nucleotides) under Bemisia tabaci. RNAcentral describes it as "lncRNA ENSSSA1NGG012262". Lineage: Eukaryota; Metazoa; Arthropoda; Insecta; Hemiptera; Aleyrodidae. The record is from RNAcentral.
AACCCUCCUCCAUUACCGAGCAAAACACCAAACCCUGCAAAUUUAAACCCUCCUCCUUUGCCGAGCAAAACACCAUCUUUCGAGGAUCACUCCAGUUCCUCAAGUAUAAAUAAGUUGGGUCAAUUUGCACCUUCCAAUCAGUUUGCACCUCAAUUUGCACCUCCCAAUCAGUUCGCACCUCAAUUUGCACCUCCCAAUCAGUUUGCACCUCAAUUUGCACCUCCCAAUCAGUUCGCACCUCAAUUUGCACCUCCCUAUCAGUUUUCGCCUCAAUUCGGACCUCCUCCAAUACCUUCAAAUCAAAAAGAUUUUGUUCCUCCUGUACAACGUCUUGCAAAUGUGAUUCCCGCUGAUCAAUGUACUUUUGUAUCAAAGCCCACAACAUCAGCGCAGAAAGUGCCACCUGUUGGGAAGGCUCCCCCGCAUCAAACACCUGUCAAACCGCCAGCCUUCCAGCAGAGAAUGCCCAUCAUUCAACAAACCCAGUGCCAACGGCACAACAAAAAUGUGUGAGCAGUUCUGCAGUUAAGUCAAAUGGAACUGCGAAGUCCUCCGUUAAUGCUGCUUCGCAGAAUGUUUCACAGACAGCGAGCAAGGCUAACCAACCGAAGAAGAAACAGACACUAAUUUACAACCACCUGGGCCGUCACGAGUUGAAUCAAAGCUUUUGUCCUCACUGAAAGACGGAUGUUUCAAGAAAUUAAUGUUGAGUCUAAAACAGAAGUACCCCAAGAAAUCUGAUGUUGAAUUAAUUAUUUAUUUGAAAAGUGCCAGAGAAAUGAACGGAGAACAAUUGACUGGAAUGUCUUUCAAUGAAAUCAUAGCCCUAGUCGAUUCUAUGAUAGAGACGCCCAAUUUCAAGUUUCCAAAACUUUCGGGAAGCGGUUCUAAUGGGGCUAAGCCAAGUAAUUUUUUUUUAAAAAGUAUUUUACUCCUAGAAGCAGGUCACGCUUGUUCAGUCAGGACUUUGAAACUUGUAAGUAUGCAAGACCUAUAAAUCUUAUUGACAGACCUGUCCUUUUUGAAUUUGUGAAAUACGAAAGGUUUUGAAAAAAGAUUCAAGCGCAAUGAGUCUGUUGAACGCAAGAGAUGAAGCCAAUUUAAAAGAUUUUCCCCAAUGUAAUAUAGCUUGAAAAUCGCACAUUAAAAUCGUUAGGAAUCCACUCCGUAGCACACAAUCUAUGUAGUUUGCAAUACUUUUUUUCAAUUUACCACGUCUGCGGGCAGUUCUUCUUCAUCGCCGGCAGUCAGGUUUACUGAGUAAGAGAUGCGAAAACCUAAUCUAAA